Molecule: non-coding RNA, 1292 nt
Organism: Oryza sativa Japonica Group (Japanese rice)
Lineage: Eukaryota; Viridiplantae; Streptophyta; Magnoliopsida; Poales; Poaceae
Source: RefSeq, a predicted model, not a curated record
CGCCGCGCAGCCACCCGGCCCCGCUCCAUGCCAAACCGACCGCCGCCGUCAUCGUCGACGUCAUCCAUGGCCCCCGCCACUCCACGCCGCACCCGUCCAAGAGUGGGAGAAGCAGCUGCUCUCCCUCUCCUCCUCCUCCUCACUCUCCCUCCUCCUUUUCUCGUUUUGGCAAGGGACCAAGCCCCUUUCCCCCUUCUUUUUCCUUUUGCCCAACACCGCCGGCGUCAUCACCUGCCGCCGCCUUGGCUGCACGCGUCGACGACCGCCAGCUCGUCGCCCUUGCAUCCCUUGACUGCCAAUGUCGGUUUCCCUCCUCCAAACCGACCUCUCCUCCUCGCCUAUAAGGCCGAGUCCCUCCUCUCAAUUUCCCCGCUUCAGUCUCCACCGCUGUAGCGCCAUUACCACCGAACCACCAUCGCCGCCUUGUUGCCGCUUGUCCCGCUCUCGUCGUCGUCGUCCGUCGCCGAGCACCGGAGGAGCCGGUGCGAGCGUGAACGCGUGACGAGGAGCUCCGGGCGCCACCUCUCCCUCUCUUCUUCCCCGGCGCACUCGCCUCGACGCCGCGCCGCCUCGGCGUCAUUCGCCGUGCGCCGCCGCUCGGUCGCGUGCCGCCAUCGGCCUUCCACCCCUUUCCAUCCCCAAAUCGCCGCCGAUACCGUUCCCGCACACCGGCUCGAGCAGAUGAGCAAGGAAGAUGAGUCUGAUGCAACGGCCACAAGGGGUGCAGGCUCGUGAUCAAUGAGAUGUACUUGAUAGUACAGUGACAAGGGGUCAUAUAGAGGUGUAGACGAGGACUAGAACAGCACAAAUCUACGAAGGAAGGGGAAAACAGACCAAGAGCAAGCGAGCAGCUGGACGAAAGAACUCGUCGCUGCCUUACUCGUCGGACGCCACGGAUGGAUGGCCUACCAAACAAAACUAGGAGGGGUAAAGGAAGGUAGAGAAGGGUCGGUUGAUCACUGACAGGUGGGUCUCACAGGAUGAUUUAGCGGGUUGGACCAAGUCAAAGCGCUACAUCGGUAAAAUCGUCUUCCAAAAAAGCAGAAAAUAUAUUGUAUAUCAUCAUGACUUCAUUUUUCGCAUACUAGAUCUUUUACAUCGAUUUCAUUGUUAAACAAGUUAUCACAUUUUGAGCUUCCCCAUUGUACAUAAUCGCAGCCCUCAGACCUCAGAUAAUACGUAAGUGAAAGCUUCCUCAACCAUUUGUCAGAAAAACAAAGAUGAAUUCGACAAAUGUUUGAGUCACUAAUCACUAUACAAUAUAAAUCCUGAAGAGGAAUAAAAUGGAAAAA